This is a long non-coding RNA of Micropterus dolomieu (smallmouth bass), 813 nucleotides long. RefSeq lists it as uncharacterized. The transcript has 2 exons. Lineage: Eukaryota; Metazoa; Chordata; Actinopteri; Centrarchiformes; Centrarchidae. The record is from RefSeq and is a predicted model, not a curated record.
UGUGUGUUCAUGGGCGUGUCCAAUCCUGGCUCCUGUCCACCUGCAGCGUCUCCCACCUGCGGCUCAUCCAGUAAUCAACCUGUGCAGUCAAAUACUUUGGUUCAGCUCCCACUCUUAGUUCGUCAGUUUACCUCCUGUGUAUCCACCUGAGACGCUGCCCGCCUGCCUACCUGCACCCUGCCUGUCAGCCUGCCAAGCCACUCCACCCUGAACAGAACUGAAGGACACCAUUACCAAGCCCCGCUCUGACUGGAAGCCUCCGCUUAAUCCCAAACCAUUCGUUCCCUUUCCUGCACUGUUAAUAAUAAUAAUAAUUCCAGUUGUGUGUUUGACAUCUAACUUGUGUCCACCUCUGAAUCCUCCAGUGAAACCGUAACAAUUUGGAUCUGGGCAGGUAGCAAACCGUGGGUUUAUCAGAGCUUGCUCACGACUGGACAGAUGAGGACCAUGAGCGGGGAAAUUCCAUUUGAGGGCCAGUAAACCAGGACAAUGAACUAAAAUAUUGAUCAGAAAAUAAUGUCUGGAUCACUGGUUCUAUGCUUUAAGACUUCUGAUCCUUAAAAGCAAUGCUUACUUGUGACCUCUUUUCAAGUGUUGCAAAUGUCUACAACUUCUAUGUAGACAUUUAGACACAUGUAGACACUUCUAUGUAGACAUUAUGAUUUACUGAUGCUGAUUGCUGUUUCAAUAAAAAAAACACAACAAAAAAAAGUGAUUAAAAAAUCAUUGUGUUGCAGAAAUUGUCUUGACAUAAUUUAUUAAAUUAAAAUUUGACACUUUUAUGCUGUUAUGUUAAUGGUUCUUACCCCCAUU